GACUACUGGGGUAUCUAAUCCUGUUUGAUACCCACACCUUCGAGCCUCAGUGUCAGUUGUACCCCAGUGAGCUGCCUUCGCAAUUGGAGUUCUUCGUGAUAUCUAAGCAUUUCACCGCUACACCACGAAUUCCGCCCACCUCUUGUACACUCAAGACAUACAGUAUCAACUGCAAUUUCACGGUUGAGCCGUAAACUUUCACAGCUGACUUAUAUGUCAACCUACGCUCCCUUUAAACCCAAUAAAUCCGGAUAACGCUUGGAUCCUCCGUAUUACCGCGGCUGCUGGCACGGAGUUAGCCGAUCCUUAUUCAUAAGGUACAUACAAAAAGGGACACGUCCCUCACUUUAUUCCCUUAUAAAAGAAGUUUACAACCCAUAGGGCAGUCAUCCUUCACGCUACUUGGCUGGUUCAGACUCGCGCCCAUUGACCAAUAUUCCUCACUGCAGCCCCCCGUAGG
Molecule: ribosomal RNA, 460 nt
Filed under: uncultured Bacteroides sp.
Lineage: Bacteria; Pseudomonadati; Bacteroidota; Bacteroidia; Bacteroidales; Bacteroidaceae
Description: partial 16S ribosomal RNA
Source: RNAcentral